RNAcentral lists this ribosomal RNA (634 nucleotides) under Guignardia sp. EW-2011. Its description in RNAcentral is "eukaryotic LSU rRNA". The stretch from base 252 to 405 matches the Rfam family "5.8S ribosomal RNA". Lineage: Eukaryota; Fungi; Ascomycota; Dothideomycetes; Botryosphaeriales; Phyllostictaceae. The record is from RNAcentral.
AAGGGGCCAUCUCAUUGAAGCGGAGAAACCUGAGAGGCGUGGAACGGGAAGCCCAUAGAAAAGGCGACCGACCUACCUUCACAGCCUUGUGUAUCUACCACGUUGCUUUGGCGGGUCGACCCGGUUCUGUCCCGGGCGGCCGGUGACCCCAGCCCAGUCCCCUGGGCCAGGACGCCUGGCUAAGUGCCCGCCAGUAUACAAAACUCCAGCGAUCAUUUUGUGUAGUCCUGAGAAUUCAUUCAAUGAACUAAAACUUUCAACAACGGAUCUCUUGGUUCUGGCAUCGAUGAAGAACGCAGCGAAAUGCGAUAAGUAAUGUGAAUUGCAGAAUUCAGUGAAUCAUCGAAUCUUUGAACGCACAUUGCGCACCCUGGUAUUCCGGGGGGCAUGCCUGUUCGAGCGUCAUUUCAACCCUCAAGCUCUGCUUGGUAUUGGGCGACGUCCGCUGCCGGACGCGCCUGGAANUACUCGGCGACGGCGUCUCGGCCUCGAGCGUAGUAGUAAAUAUCUCGCUUUGGAGGAGGAGGCGACGGCUUGCCGGACAAUCGACCUUCGGUCACUUAUUUUUCCAGGGUUGACCUCGGAUCAGGUAGGGAUACCCGCUGAACUUAAGCAUAUCAAUAGGGGGGGAAAA